UGAAUGUCCGCUGCUGAGAACCACGACUGGGGAGAACUGCCAUUGCACUCGAGUCCCGUUUGCUGGCUCCCCAUAGGGGCAUUGGAUUGGCCACUGUGAGAACAGGAUGCUAGACUAGAUCGGCCUUUGGCUUGAUCCACUUGCAGGGCUCUACUUACGUUUAUAUGGAUUUGGAGAGGACUAAGAUCACAUACAAGGGACGCAGGUGGUGCUUUGGGCUAAACCGCAGAGCCUAGGACUUGCCGACCAGAAGGUCAGUGGUUCGAAUCCCCGCGACGGGGUGAGGUCCCGUUGCUCGGUCCCUGCUCCUGCCAACCCAGCAGUUCGAAAGUGCGUCAAAGUGCAAGUAGAUAAAUAGGUACCGCUCCAGUGGGAUGGUAAACGGUGUUUCUCUGCGCAGCUCUGGUUCGCCAGAAGCGGCUUAGUCAUGCUGGCCACAUGACCCGGAAGCUGUACGCCGGCUCCUUCCGCCAGUAAAGCAAGAUGAGCGCCGCAACCCCAGAGUCAGUCACUACUGGACCUAAUGGUCAGGGGUCCUUUUACCUUUACCUAAGAUCACAUACAGGUAAAUUCAUCAGACUAGGCCUCAGCCACAGGUUGCAGGUUUCCCCAAAGUCCCACUUUCACAAAUUCCACUUUUACUUAUGCCCCUGGAAACAGCUACGUGACUACUACUAUCUAGCUUGUUUGGGAUUGCAAGGGCAGUGGCCAGCGACACAUUGCCAAAGAUUUAUUUCGGUAGAAAGGAGUUCAGGGUAUUUAUUAUAUAUCUAUCUAUCAUCUACCUAGAUUUAUAUAAAGUGGAACCUCGGGUUAAGUACUUAAUUCGUUCCGGAGGUCUGUUCUUAACCUGAAACUGUUCUUAACCUGAAGCACCACUUUAGCUAAUGGGGCCUCCUGCUGCUGCCACGCUGCCGGAGCACGAUUUCUGUUCUCAUCCUGAAGCAAAGUUCUUAACCUGAAGCACUAUUUCUGGGUUAGCGGAGUCUGUAACCUGGAGCGUAUGUAACCUGAAGCGUAUGUAACCCGAGGUACCACUGUACUGCUUAAUAAAAGAAACCCAUCUAAGUGGUUUACAUUAAGCAAUAUAAAAUAUUAACAAGAAAAUACUGAUAGCAUUAAAUACAAGUAAGACAUAAUACAGGUAUGAAGACAAGUGGAUAGCUCAGUUGAUUAGGGCGUGGUGCUGAUAAUGCCAAGAUUGCAGGUUCAAUCCUCGGAUGGGACAGCUGCAUAUUCCUGCAUUGCAGAAGGUUGGACUAGAUGACCCAAUGAAGGAGAAAGAGGCCCUGUUCUUAUCUUAUCACAACAGCCCUGAUGAGACAGGUCCAAGUAAGCACAGGCGGUGAUCACGCUCCGCACAUACACAGUACUAACCGCAGUCACGAGCUUCCCUGCUGAUUAGCACGUCCUGAGCAUGCGGUGUACAUGACUUGGGCACGAGCACAGUCAGUACAUGGGGGGCUGGACACAUGAAUGGGAUAGGCUCAGGAGGCUGAACAGGGCAGGGAAACCAAUGUAUAAAAGGCUUUGCAUGACCUGUAUGUGUGUGCCAGACUUUGGAAGCGAUUCCACUGGUACCUGCUGCGCAGUAACCGAAUAAACUUUUUCUCUGUGGAAUCACACCCUGGCGUUGCUUGACUCCUUCAUGCUCCUGGCGAGGGUACGAGGUGACUGGACCCAGACCCAAACUUAAAGAAGGCUACACCUCAACUCUACAAUUCUGUGAUCUGAGUCAGGCAUAAUCCAAUUUAUCAAAAUAUAGAUAAAAUCAAUGGUUUUAUAAAACAAAUAUGCCUGAAACAGUUGCGUGCCUGGUGUAGGCUUGUCUAAAGACCAAGCUUCUUAGCAUGGGUUGAAAUGGGUUUACCAGCUGAUCGGCAAAUAGGCUGCCCCUGUGCCUUUUACGGCAGCUUGGCCCCAAAAACUUUUCAUGGCGUAGAGAUGAGCUUGGUAGCAUACUAACAUCUGCAGGUCAAAGUGCCAUGUGGGGCAUAGGAUCAGGGGCCCGUCAAAAAGCUGGCAACCCCACGCCCAAGUAAGUGCUCUUGAAACAUCUAUGUAAAUUCAGUUGCUAAUUCCCUCCCCACGAAAAAAAAAAUCAUCUCCUCCCACCCCCAACAUGUCACAAUUUCACCAGGUCAUAAAUACCUGGGUGAGGUGGGGCUUCCCUAUCAAACCCAUAAGCACAAAAGAAGCGUAAAUUUAGCGAGGUUGCUGAGCAAAGGGGGUGUGGGUCUGGGAAAGCAAGCAAAGAGAAAACAAAUUAAAUCUGAAUAAAAAUAUGAUUAGCGCCGGGGAUGGGUGGAUGACAAAUUAGAGCUCUAAACUUUGCAAUAUAAAGCUAUUUCCCAUGAUAAAUGUGCCCAGACAGUAAUCAAUGGCUUUAAUCCAUACGAUGGGAAAUAGCGUCCUAGAGUCUUGAUUUGGAGUUUGGAGAAGGGUGGCGGUUUUCCCAAAGACAAAUGUUUUCUCCAUUGACCAGCCCAGGCUGGAACGGGUGGCGAACAGAAUUUAAUUACCAGGUACCCUCACAGCGCGAUUCAUUCUUCCCUCGGAAUGAAACUUCAUUGGCAAGAUGGAUGGCUCCUGUUGAUGGGUGCCGAACGCAGUUCAAUCUUAGCCAGAUUUAUGGCCUGUAGAAAUUUCACUAGAUUUGUUUUGUUAAAAAAAAGAGAGAGGGGGGAGUAGGAGUGUGUGUGUGUGCGUUUGUGUGUGUUGGGGACUGUAGCAGGCACAAGAUUUCACUCUCAUAACUGAUGGAUUGCUGCCAAUCCAAAGUGUGAUAAUCUAAGGGCAGAAUUUAAGGCUCUGAACUUCCAUAAUCUGCUCUGGGAUUGAAACUGGGACUAAUGGUCAAAAACCCACCACCUAUUUUCCUUUACAUCACCAUCCAGAUGUUUUUGACUACAACUCCCAUCGGCAGAGGACAUAUUUUGCUCCGUGUGGACCACAAACAGCAUUCCGGG
RNAcentral lists this long non-coding RNA (2969 nucleotides) under Podarcis lilfordi (Lilford's wall lizard). Lineage: Eukaryota; Metazoa; Chordata; Lepidosauria; Squamata; Lacertidae. The record is from RNAcentral.